GGGCUUAACUCCGGAUCUGCGGUGGGUACGGGCAGACUUGAGUGAUGUAGGGGAGACUGGAAUUCCGGUGUAGCGGUGAAAUGCGCAGAUAUCAGGAGGAACACCGAUGGCGAAGGCAGGUCUCUGGGCAUUAACUGACGCUGAGGAGCGAAAGCAUGGGGAGCGAACAGGAUUAGAUACCCUGGUAGUCCAUGCCGUAAACGUUGGGCACUAGGUGUGGGGGACAUUCCACGUUUUCCGCGCCGUAGCUAACGCAUUAAGUGCCCCGCCUGGGGAGUACGGCCGCAAGGCUAAAACUCAAAGGAAUUGACGGGGGCCCGCACAAGCGGCGGAGCAUGCGGAUUAAUUCGAUGCAACGCGAAGAACCUUACCAAGGCUUGACAUGAACCGGAACGGCGCAGAGAUGUGUCGGCCACUUGUGGCCGGUUUACAGGUGGUGCAUGGUUGUCGUCAGCUCGUGUCGUGAGAUGUUGGGUUAAGUCCCGCAACGAGCGCAACCCUCGUUCCAUGUUGCCAGCGGGUUAUGCCGGGGACUCAUGGGAGACUGCCGGGGUCAACUCGGAGGAAGGUGGGGACGACGUCAAAUCAUCAUGCCCCUUAUGUCUUGGGCUUCACGCAUGCUACAAUGGCCGGUACAAAGGGUUGCGAUGCUGUGAGGUGGAGCUAAUCCCAAAAAGCCGGUCUCAGUUCGGAUUGAGGUCUGCAACUCGACCUCAUGAAGUCGGAGUCGCUAGUAAUCGCAGAUCAGCAACGCUGCGGUGAAUACGUUCCCGGGCCUUGUACACACCGCCC
This 792-nucleotide ribosomal RNA is filed under the name Arthrobacter sp. B23. RNAcentral describes it as "bacterial SSU rRNA". It matches the Rfam family "Bacterial small subunit ribosomal RNA", at positions 605 to 1395 of the family's 1533-position model. The record is from RNAcentral. Lineage: Bacteria; Bacillati; Actinomycetota; Actinomycetes; Micrococcales; Micrococcaceae.